This 846-nucleotide ribosomal RNA is filed under the name Streptomyces olivaceus. RNAcentral describes it as "bacterial SSU rRNA". It matches the Rfam family "Bacterial small subunit ribosomal RNA", at positions 56 to 917 of the family's 1533-position model. Lineage: Bacteria; Bacillati; Actinomycetota; Actinomycetes; Kitasatosporales; Streptomycetaceae. The record is from RNAcentral.
UGCAGUCGAACGAUGAACCACUUCGGUGGGGAUUAGUGGCGAACGGGUGAGUAACACGUGGGCAAUCUGCCCUGCACUCUGGGACAAGCCCUGGAAACGGGGUCUAAUACCGGAUAUUGACCUUCACGGGCAUCUGUGAGGUUCGAAAGCUCCGGCGGUGCAGGAUGAGCCCGCGGCCUAUCAGCUUGUUGGUGAGGUAAUGGCUCACCAAGGCGACGACGGGUAGCCGGCCUGAGAGGGCGACCGGCCACACUGGGACUGAGACACGGCCCAGACUCCUACGGGAGGCAGCAGUGGGGAAUAUUGCACAAUGGGCGAAAGCCUGAUGCAGCGACGCCGCGUGAGGGAUGACGGCCUUCGGGUUGUAAACCUCUUUCAGCAGGGAAGAAGCGAAAGUGACGGUACCUGCAGAAGAAGCGCCGGCUAACUACGUGCCAGCAGCCGCGGUAAUACGUAGGGCGCAAGCGUUGUCCGGAAUUAUUGGGCGUAAAGAGCUCGUAGGCGGCUUGUCACGUCGGUUGUGAAAGCCCGGGGCUUAACCCCGGGUCUGCAGUCGAUACGGGCAGGCUAGAGUUCGGUAGGGGAGAUCGGAAUUCCUGGUGUAGCGGUGAAAUGCGCAGAUAUCAGGAGGAACACCGGUGGCGAAGGCGGAUCUCUGGGCCGAUACUGACGCUGAGGAGCGAAAGCGUGGGGAGCGAACAGGAUUAGAUACCCUGGUAGUCCACGCCGUAAACGGUGGGCACUAGGUGUGGGCAACAUUCCACGUUGUCCGUGCCGCAGCUAACGCAUUAAGUGCCCCGCCUGGGGAGUACGGCCGCAAGGCUAAAACUCAAAGGAAUUGACGGG